Molecule: unclassified non-coding RNA, 459 nt
Filed under: Hevea brasiliensis (rubber tree)
Lineage: Eukaryota; Viridiplantae; Streptophyta; Magnoliopsida; Malpighiales; Euphorbiaceae
Source: RNAcentral
CUUCUCUUCUUCGUCUCAUCCAUACUCCACCAUUUACAGUCCACACUCACUCCACCGACAUUAACUUGUUCCCAGAGGCCACUGGAGCCUGGAGCAGCUUAAUGGAUCCCAGAAGAGAAAGAAGAUUCUCCCGAACCAAGCUUAAGGCAGACUUAGCGGCAGUUCUUCGAAAAUCAUGGUACCAUUUGAGGUUGUCCGUCAGACAUCCGUCUAGAGUCCCCACUUGGGAUGCAAUUGUCCUCACGGCUGCUAGCCCCGAGCAAGCCCAGCUAUACGACUGGCAGCUCAAGCGCGCCAAGCGUAUAGGCCGGAUCGCUCCCUCCACCGUCACUCUUGCCGUGCCCGACCCCAACGGCCAGCGGAUCGGCUCUGGUGCCGCCACUCUUAAUGCCAUUAAUGCCCUCGCUCGCCAUUAUCAGAUGCUAGGGCUCGAUCUUGGCCCAGAGGUGGCAAACACAG